RNAcentral lists this ribosomal RNA (557 nucleotides) under Bifidobacterium adolescentis. RNAcentral describes it as "partial 16S ribosomal RNA". It matches the Rfam family "Bacterial small subunit ribosomal RNA", at positions 146 to 713 of the family's 1533-position model. The record is from RNAcentral. Lineage: Bacteria; Bacillati; Actinomycetota; Actinomycetes; Bifidobacteriales; Bifidobacteriaceae.
UCUCCUGGAAAACGGGUGGUAAUGCCGGAUGCUCCAGUUGACCGCAUGGUCCUCUGGGAAAGCUUUUGCGGUAUGGGAUGGGGUCGCGUCCUAUCAGCUUGAUGGCGGGGUAACGGCCCACCAUGGCUUCGACGGGUAGCCGGCCUGAGAGGGCGACCGGCCACAUUGGGACUGAGAUACGGCCCAGACUCCUACGGGAGGCAGCAGUGGGGAAUAUUGCACAAUGGGCGCAAGCCUGAUGCAGCGACGCCGCGUGCGGGAUGACGGCCUUCGGGUUGUAAACCGCUUUUGACUGGGAGCAAGCCCUUCGGGGUGAGUGUACCUUUCGAAUAAGCACCGGCUAACUACGUGCCAGCAGCCGCGGUAAUACGUAGGGUGCAAGCGUUAUCCGGAAUUAUUGGGCGUAAAGGGCUCGUAGGCGGUUCGUCGCGUCCGGUGUGAAAGUCCAUCGCUUAACGGUGGAUCCGCGCCGGGUACGGGCGGGCUUGAGUGCGGUAGGGGAGACUGGAAUUCCCGGUGUAACGGUGGAAUGUGUAGAUAUCGGAAAGAACACCAAA